Molecule: ribosomal RNA, 253 nt
Filed under: uncultured bacterium
Lineage: Bacteria
Description: partial 16S ribosomal RNA
Rfam family: Bacterial small subunit ribosomal RNA
Source: RNAcentral
UACGGAGGGGGCUAGCGUUGUUCGGAAUUACUGGGCGUAAAGCGCACGUAGGCGGUCUGUUAAGUCGGGGGUGAAAUCCUGGGGCUCAACCUCAGAAUUGCCUCCGAUACUGGCAGUCUCGAGUGCGGGAGAGGUGAGUGGAAUUCCCAGUGUAGAGGUGAAAUUCGUAGAUAUUGGGAAGAACACCAGCGGCGAAGGCGGCUCACUGGCCCGUAACUGACGCUGAGGUGCGAAAGCGUGGGGAGCAAACAGG